This 30-nucleotide non-coding RNA is filed under the name Rattus norvegicus (Norway rat). Lineage: Eukaryota; Metazoa; Chordata; Mammalia; Rodentia; Muridae. The record is from RNAcentral.
ACCACACAGCAGAACAACUUCAAAGGGAGC